GAUCGACUAGCUCAGUUGGUAGAGCACAAGAUUGAAGCUCUUGGUGUCACAGGUUCGAAUCCUGUGUCGAUCA
Molecule: transfer RNA, 73 nt
Filed under: Prasinoderma coloniale
Lineage: Eukaryota; Viridiplantae; Prasinodermophyta; Prasinodermophyceae; Prasinodermales; Prasinodermaceae
Description: tRNA-Phe
Rfam family: tRNA
About the family: Transfer RNA (tRNA) molecules are approximately 80 nucleotides in length. Their secondary structure includes four short double-helical elements and three loops (D, anti-codon, and T loops).
Source: RNAcentral